AUACGUAGGGGGCGAGCGUUGUCCGGAAUGAUUGGGCGUAAAGGGCGCGUAGGCGGCCCGGUAAGUCUGGAGUGAAAGUCCUGUUUUUAAGAUGGGAAUUGCUUUGGAUACUGUCGGGCUUGAGUGCAGGAGAGGUAAGUGGAAUUCCCAGUGUAGUGGUGAAAUGCGUAGAGAUUGGGAGGAACACCAGUGGCGAAGUCGACUUACUGGACUGUAACUGACGCUGAGGCGCGAAAGUGUGGGGAGCAAACAGGAUUAGAUACCCUGGUAGUCCACACUGUAAACGAUGAAUGCUAGGUGUAGGGGGUAUCGACCCCUUCUGUGCCGCAGUCAACACAAUAAGCAUUCCGCCUGGGGAGUACGGCCGCAAGGUUGAAACUCAAAGGAAUUGACGGGG
RNAcentral lists this ribosomal RNA (397 nucleotides) under uncultured bacterium. Its description in RNAcentral is "partial 16S ribosomal RNA". It matches the Rfam family "Bacterial small subunit ribosomal RNA", at positions 523 to 918 of the family's 1533-position model. The record is from RNAcentral.